GACGAACGCUGGCGGCGUGCUUAACACAUGCAAGUCGAGCGGAAAGGCCAUGCUUUUGUGGGUCGCUCGUGUGCGGAACGCGUGAGUGUCACGUGAGUAUACUCCACCUGACUUUGGGAUAAAUUCAGGAAACUGGGGCUCAUACCGGAUAGGAGCUCCUGCUGCGUGGGGGGGGUUGGAAAGUUUCGGCGGUUUGGGAUGGACUGGCGGGUUAUCGGCUGGUUUGGGUGGUAGUGGCUUACCAGGGCUUUGACGGGUAGCCGGCCUGGGAGCGGGACCGGCCUCAUGGGGACUGCGAUACGGACCAGACUCGUACGGGCCGCAGCGGUGGGGAAUAUUGCACAAUGGGGCGAAGCCUGAUGCAGCAACGCCGCGUGCGGGAUGCUGUCCUUCGGGUUGUAAACCACUUUGUCCGGUACCGAACAGUGAGUGACGGUACUGGGUAAAGAAGCACCGGCUAACUACGUG
Molecule: ribosomal RNA, 468 nt
Filed under: uncultured bacterium
Lineage: Bacteria
Description: partial 16S ribosomal RNA
Rfam family: Bacterial small subunit ribosomal RNA
Source: RNAcentral